CACGUAGGGUGCGAGCGUUGUCCGGAAUUAUUGGGCGUAAAGAGCUCGUAGGCGGUGUGUCGCGUCGGCCGUGAAAACCUGCAGCUUAACUGUGGGCUUGCGGUCGAUACGGGCAUCACUGGAGUUCGGCAGGGGAGACUGGAAUUCCUGGUGUAGCGGUGAAAUGCGUAGAUAUCGGGAGGAACACCAGUGGCGAAGGCGAGUCUCUGGGAUGAUGCUGACGCUGAGGCGCGAAAGCCAGGGGAGCAAACGGG
Molecule: ribosomal RNA, 254 nt
Filed under: uncultured bacterium
Lineage: Bacteria
Description: partial 16S ribosomal RNA
Rfam family: Bacterial small subunit ribosomal RNA
Source: RNAcentral